RNAcentral lists this long non-coding RNA (479 nucleotides) under Equus caballus (horse). RNAcentral describes it as "lncRNA (ENSECAG00000048652.1)". Lineage: Eukaryota; Metazoa; Chordata; Mammalia; Perissodactyla; Equidae. The record is from RNAcentral.
GAUAAGCUGGGCUCGGGCCUGUGAACCCCAGGCCGCUGAAGGAGAACACGCGAACUUAGCUGCCCACCAGGCCAGCCCCUCUACCCGGGCCUUUUUAUAUUCGCUAUGGCCAGUCACAAGGGCAUCGGUCUCCGAGAAUCUCUGAAGUGUCCUCACAGAAGAGAACAAUGGCUCUGAAGUGCUACCACAGGAGAUCCCGAGUGGGACAAAAGCUGAUACUUGGAAGCUGGAGGUGGAUCAUAACAGAACUUCUUCAGGGGAGCGCUCUGUCUCUGCCCUUCAGUGACGAAGCGUGUUCUUCAGGAAUUUGCCAGAUUGUGGGCGAGUUUGCCUGGUGUCAGAGGCAGCGGGAUUUUUCACAUCUUUUCCUCAUCGUCAUGGACACUGACUGGAGUUGAUUUCAUCUGAACCUUUUCAUCCUGAGGCUAGAGCUGAUUCUGCUGGUAAUCCAGCUAUGCCAUUCGCUUGUUAAAAAUGCU